CGGUAAUUCCAGCUCCAAUAGCGUAUAUUAAAGUUGUUGCAGUUAAAAAGCUCGUAGUUGGAUUUCUGGGUCAAGCUCCUGGUCCGCCGCUAGUCGGUGCAGACUGUGUGCAGCGUUGGCUCAUCCUUGUGGGAAAGGCAGUGCGUCGUUCAUUCGUCAGCUGUCGGAACCGCAUCUUUUACUGUGAAAAAAUUAGAGUGUUCAAAGCAGGCUUACGCUGUGAAUACAUUAGCAUGGAAUAAUAAGAUAGGACUUUGGUUCUAUUUUGUUGGUUGGAGGCCAAGGUAAUGAUUAAUAGGGAUAGUUGGGGGUAUUCAUAUUUAAUUGUCAGAAGUGAAAUUCUUGGAUUUAUGAAAGAUGAACUUAUGCGAAAGCAUUUACCAAGGAUGUUUUCAUUAAUCAAGAACGAAAGUUAGGGGAUCGAAGAGGAUUAGAUACCCUCGUAGUCUUAACCAUAAACUAUGCCGACUCGGGAUUGGAGGGCGUAUAUCAAUGAGCCUUUCAGCACCGUAUGAGAAAUCAAAGUCUUUGGGUUCCGGGGGGAGUAUGGUCGCAAGGCUGAAACUUAAAGGAAUUGACGGAAGGGCACCACCAGGAGUGGAGCCUGCGGCUUAAUUUGACUCAACACGGGGAAACUCACCAGGUCCGGACAUAGUAAGGAUUGACAGAUUGACAGCUCUUUCUUGAUUCUAUGGGUGGUGGUGCAUGGCCGUUCUUAGUUGGUGGAGUGAUUUGUCUGGUUGAUUCCGUUAACGAACGAGAUCUCCGCCUGCUAAAUAGGAUCGCUAACCGUCUUAGGUUGGCGGUGAACUUAUUAGAGGGGCACUCGGCGUUUAGUCGAGGGAAGUUCGAGGCAAUAUCAGGUCUGUGAUGCCAUUAGAUGUUCUGGGCCGCACGCGCGCUACAUUGAUUAGUCCAACGAGUUUAUCACCUUGGUCGAGAGGCCUGGGUAAUCUUGCAAUUCGAAUCGUGAUGGGGACUGGUCCUUGUAAUUCCUGGCCAUGAACGAGGAAUUCAUAGUAAACUCGAGUCAUCACCUCGCAUUGAUUACGUCCCUGCCCUUUGUACACACCUCCCGUCGCACCUACCGAUUGAAUGGUCCGGUGAAAUGUUCGGAUCGCGGCCUGGCCCUUUUUUGGGACGACUUACCAAAGAGUUGACUAAACCUUGCCAUUUAGAGGAGAGGUGAAGUCAUAGCAAGGUAACCGUAAGGGU
This 1215-nucleotide ribosomal RNA is filed under the name uncultured stramenopile. Its description in RNAcentral is "SSU rRNA". It matches the Rfam family "Eukaryotic small subunit ribosomal RNA", at positions 577 to 1812 of the family's 1831-position model. The record is from RNAcentral.